RNAcentral lists this ribosomal RNA (174 nucleotides) under uncultured bacterium. RNAcentral's name for it is "partial 16S ribosomal RNA". It matches the Rfam family "Bacterial small subunit ribosomal RNA", at positions 118 to 290 of the family's 1533-position model. The record is from RNAcentral.
UGGGCAACCUGCCCUCAGCUCUGGGAUAACUCCAAGAAAUUGGGGCUAAUACCGGAUAUGACUGCUGACCGCAUGGUCUGGUGGUGGAAAGAUUUAUCGGCUGGGGAUGGGCCCCGCGGCCUAUCAGCUUGUUGGGUGGGGUAGUGGCCUACCAAGGCGACGACGGGUAGCCGG